Long non-coding RNA from Coturnix japonica (Japanese quail), 570 nucleotides. RefSeq lists it as uncharacterized. The record is from RefSeq and is a predicted model, not a curated record. Lineage: Eukaryota; Metazoa; Chordata; Aves; Galliformes; Phasianidae.
UCCAGUCCCACCCCCACAGGCAGGGCCACCAACCUCCCCAUUUAAUACCAGACCAGGCUGCCCCAUCCAACCUGAUCCUGAACAGGGAUGGGGCCUCCAUCCCCCAUUCUCUUAGACUGGACUCAGCUGUCCCCGCAGGCAAUGAGAGAUGCAGACCAUCACAAUUUGCUCUCCCCGUCUGCUUAAAGAAGCAAGUGGCUGUGGGAUGCCAAAACCUGCGACUGAGAUCAGAGAGAUCUGAAGGCAUCUCAUCACCCAGAACCUUGAGGGCUACUCAUGUUCUAUGAUUCUUCUGCUACAAACUCAACCUUGUGCCCCUAAAAACCCACAUCCUGGGAUUUAUAUCUAUACCACAAGUAUUGGAACAGGCUGCCAAGGAAGCGGUGAGCUCACCAUAGAUGUGGGACAUGGAACGGUGUCAGAUAAAGGAAGAAUCCUACACCAACACUGGAGGAGGUUCAGAGCUUCAUUAUAUAGAGACCACACUAUCUCCUGUCAUCAAGAAUUUGGCAUGAGAGCUUGGCUGAGAUCCCAUUAUCGAGCCAUUUCUAAAAUAAACCUUACAAACAA